RNAcentral lists this non-coding RNA (26 nucleotides) under Rattus norvegicus (Norway rat). The record is from RNAcentral. Lineage: Eukaryota; Metazoa; Chordata; Mammalia; Rodentia; Muridae.
UGGGAUUAACCAAUAGGGCGUUAACC